Mercurialis annua (annual mercury) is the source of this 619-nucleotide long non-coding RNA. RefSeq lists it as uncharacterized. The transcript is spliced from 4 exons. NCBI's taxonomy places the organism in Eukaryota, Viridiplantae, Streptophyta, Magnoliopsida, Malpighiales, Euphorbiaceae. The record is from RefSeq and is a predicted model, not a curated record.
GAUGAAUAAUUUACAAUUGCAUUUCUGAAUUAGUUUAACUUUCCUGUUGCAUUGUGUGUUUUUCUUUGACUGGAUCAUCUACCUUUUUUUAAGCGAUCCGCGUUUAAAGCCUUCUUCAUUUCAUGAUAAAGGCAUAUAUAAGUAUACAACGUUUGUUAAUGGAAAAUUUCUCUAAUGGUCAGUCAAAUGGAUUAUUAUAGAAUUGACACUUCAUUGAAAUAACUAGUCAUGACUCGUAGUAGUACACAAACAAUUUACAUUGCUCCUUUUUGUUUCCUUAGCAUAUUAUACGCAUGGAUGGUUAUGGAAAAUUAUUUCAGCAUGAGCUAGAACAUAGACAACUUAUGGAUUAUGGAGAUGCAUCAUUUUUCUCUUUCCCUCCAAUUAUUGCACAACCUCAGUGCGGAACCAAUUAACCAAUCUCAACCUUGGGUGAUAUGGAUAACUAUUUUUGUUGCUGAGAUACAUGCAGCAACACACUGAAGUUGAACUCUUUGCUCUUGGAAUUGGAUUUCAGGUUGAUAGUGUGGAAUUUGACCGUAGCAGAAAAGACACUCAAUUUUUAGUAGUUUAAUCGUUAUUUUUGAUGAAUAUUUUGAUAAACAUUUUCUAUUUGUGA